AUAUAUUGGGGUGUCGAUUCCACAGGGAGAAGGUAGAAACACUAAAAGAAACUACAAAACUAAGGAGAAAUAUCAAAGCAGUAAAAUGUGAUGUGAAUGUUUAAAAGUAAAUUGACAAUUAGAUUAUAGUAAUAAAGAUAUGACCAGAAUUAAUGGCAGCAAAGCAUCGGGAAUUCCUCACUUGAAUCAGGUAAUUUCAUUCAUAUUUGAUCC
RNAcentral lists this long non-coding RNA (213 nucleotides) under Phoenix dactylifera (date palm). RNAcentral's name for it is "long non-coding RNA (PDAC_LNC010543)". The record is from RNAcentral. Lineage: Eukaryota; Viridiplantae; Streptophyta; Magnoliopsida; Arecales; Arecaceae.